Molecule: RNA transcript, 2136 nt
Organism: Oryza brachyantha (malo sina)
Lineage: Eukaryota; Viridiplantae; Streptophyta; Magnoliopsida; Poales; Poaceae
Gene name: 3-oxoacyl-[acyl-carrier-protein] synthase III, chloroplastic
Exons: 9
Source: RefSeq, a predicted model, not a curated record
CCAUUAAAAAAAAACCCUCCUCCCCCUCCGGGCGGAGCUCCCGAAGCUCUCCCCUCUCGCGCGGCCCCCACCCACCCCUCGCAACCAUCACCGCUGCCCACCGUUCCCAUCGCCGCCGCCGUCCCGCUCCCGCGCCUAUAUCAUCGCCAUCUCUCUCCCUCCCCUCGCGUCCAUGCCCCUCCGCUCGCCGCCAUUGACCGGGUGAUUCGCUGCCUCCUCGCUCGUCCCCACACUUCCCCCCACCCGAGCCCGAGCCGAAGCCGCCGUCGUCGUCGUCUCCGCCGCCGCGAGAUCUCCGGCUAUUUCAGCUAUGGUCGCCGCCUCCGGCCUCGCGCCGCCGCGGCUGGUGGCGGUCUCCUGCCCGCGGGCGGCGCGCGGCGUCCAGCGGCUCGGUUUCCUCCGAUCCGCGCCGGUGGCGUCGGGGCCCGCGGCCCCGCAGCUCCGGUGCUGCGCCUCCACCGUCGACGACGGCGUCGUCUCCGCGGCGGCCCCCAAGCCCCGCCUCCCCAGGGUCAUCGGUAUGGGUUCGAAGCUCAUUGGGUGCGGUUCGGCCACUCCAUCACUUAGUGUUUCAAAUGACGACCUUUCAAAAAUAGUUGAAACAUCAGAUGAAUGGAUUGCAGCACGAACUGGGAUUCGGAACAGGCGAGUUCUGUCAGGAAAUGAAACACUGCGGGAGCUUUCAGUACAGGCAGCAAAAAGGGCACUUGAGAUGGCUCAAGUAAAUGCUGAUGAUGUUGACCUUGUUCUCCUUUGUACAUCUACCCCAGAUGAUCUGUUUGGAGGUGCUGCUCAGGUGCUGGCGGAGGUGGGGUGCACAAAUGCAUUUGGCUUUGAUAUUACUGCUGCCUGCAGUGGGUUUAUUAUUGGUUUAAUCACAGCUACUCGUUUUAUCAAAGGUGGAGGCAUCCAGAAUAUUCUAGUAAUUGGUGCUGAUGCUCUUUCGCAAUUCGUGGAUUGGACAGACAGAGGUACAUGCAUCCUCUUCGGUGAUGCUGCUGGUGCUGUUUUGGUUCAGGCAUGUGGUGCUGAUGAAGAUGGCUUGCUGGGUUUUUGUGUUCAAAGCGAUGGCCAUGGGCAAAAGCACUUAAAUUGUGUGUCGUCACAUGUUGAAUCUAUCCUGUCCAAGACCAAUGGUGUCCCUAACUUCCCACCUAAAAAAGCAUCCUUCUCGAACAUUGAAAUGAAUGGAAAGGAGGUUUUUCGCUUUGCUGUGCGAUGCGUUCCACAAUCCAUUGAGAAGGCAUUGGAAGAGGCUGGUUUACCUGCUUCCAGUAUUGAUUGGUUGUUGCUGCAUCAAGCUAAUCAGCGGAUUAUUGAUGCGGCUGCCAGUAGGUUGGAUAUCCCAUCCGACAAAGUUAUUUCAAAUCUUGCUAAUUACGGAAACACAAGUGCAGCCUCAAUUCCAUUAGCAUUAGAUGAGGCUGUUCGCGCUGGCAAGGUGAAGGCAGGUGAUGUUAUUGCAGCAUCUGGUUUUGGUGCUGGACUUACAUGGGGUUCAGCAAUUGUCAAAUGGGGCUGAUCAUUCUGCACCGUGAACAAUUGCAACAAACCAACAGUUCCGAGAUUUCAUGUACGUGGCCUAGGUGUAAGCCUUCCAGGGGUCAAUUUACCCUUUCGUUGUCUGACAUUUUUUUUUUCAAUUGGCUGUCAAUGUGGUUAGCAGCAACUCUGGAUUGUACUACUCCUAGCUCUUUGUAGUUCAAGUGGCUCGUAGAAAUAUUUACAUCUGGGAUUGAACUUAGCUGGCCAUGAGAGAAUAUUACAUUGUAAAGUUACUGGGCCUUGUGCGCCCUGAAUUUUUUUUUAUUGAACUGUGGUCAGCGUUCUGGCACCGAUUAAUAAGCAUGUAAGAAGUGAUGGAUAUAUGUUGUAGCUCAAUCCUGAAUUAAUGCUUCUUAGUGGAGUUUGUUGCUUUCACUUGCUACACUCCAGUACAUGUUCUCUUUGAUAUGUGCGUAGUGUGUGUAUGCCUGUAUGGCUGUUCCCCCAGAUAUGAUACUUUUGACGCAUGUUUUUGUCUUAUUUUUACAUGCUUUUCAGUGUAAGCCCUCUCAGAACUGUCGUAGUGUAAACAUGGAACUGCCAAGAAUUUGAACUGUUGUAGGGAGACAUGUUGAUAAGGAUGAUGAAAUG